GCAUAAACGAAUGGACAAAGACGAACAUUUAUUGGAGUUAUAAUUAUGUUAAAUAGUUGCCCAAUUUUUUGCCAAAGACACCUCUAAGGACUGCUGCACAGAACAUUAAAAACUACACAAAAACAUUUACUGACAUUUGAUUAAGACAGAAGACACCAGCGUAACUGUUGUCAUAAUCACAAGAAUGAUAUCCAAGAUGACAGCACUGGUAGUGGUCUGUGUGACAAUUUCAUCAAUAUUUGUAUUGACUACACAAGGUGAAAUAACUAUAACCAGCGACCCGGAGACAAUAGUAUACAACAACUAUUUUAUAUUAACGUGUCAUAUUGGUACCAUAACUGAUGAAGUUAAAUGGAUCUAUAAAGGAAUAACUAUUUUCUCAUGUACAUCACCAUAUCGUGCUGGUCUGUGUUUUAUACAUACAACAUCACCUUAUCGUCUUUCUAAAUUUGACGUCAAUACAGCAUCUGGUAUAACCACAGUAAGGAUAUAUUCUCGCAAGAACCAGUUAGAAGGGUUGUGGACAUGUAAACACGGUAGAGACAGCUCUACGUACAAUGUUAACCCUAUUGAUCCUGU
Long non-coding RNA from Patella vulgata (common limpet), 579 nucleotides. RefSeq lists it as uncharacterized. The transcript has 3 exons. The record is from RefSeq and is a predicted model, not a curated record. Lineage: Eukaryota; Metazoa; Mollusca; Gastropoda; Patellidae.